GGCUUGGUCCUGACUUUCUAUAAGCUUUAACCCAACUUAUACAUGCAAGUCUCCGCACCCCUGUGAGAAUGCCCUCAAUCCCCCAACCGGGGACUAGGAGCUGGUAUCAGGCACACUCACUAAGCCCAAGACACCUUGCUUACGCCACACCCCCAAGGGAAUUCAGCAGUAAUAAACAUUAAGCCAUAAGUGAAAACUUGACUUAGUUAGGGUUAAGAGGGUCGGUAAAAUCCGUGCCAGCCACCGCGGUUAUACGAAAGACCCCAGUUUACAGAUACGGCGUAAAGGGUGGUUAAGGAAAAAUCAAAAUAAAGCUAAAGAUCCCCUAAGCAGUCAUACGCUCCACGGAGACACGAAAUCCAAAUACGAAAGUUGCCUUAAAUAAAUUACCUGACCCCACGAAAGCUGAAAAACAAACUGGGAUUAGAUACCCCACUAUGCUCAGCCUUAAACCCAGAUGAAAACUUUACAAAAUCAUCCGCCAGGGGACUACAAGCACAGCUUAAAACCCAAAGGACUUGGCGGUGCCUCAGAUCCACCUAGAGGAGCCUGUUCUAGAACCGAUAAUCCCCGUUAAACCUCACCACCUCUUGCCUUUCCCGCCUAUAUACCGCCGUCGUCAGCUUACCCUAUGAAGGCCCAAUAGUAAGCAAAAUGGGUUCAACCCAAAACGUCAGGUCAAGGUGUAGCGCACGAGGUGGGAAGAAAUGGGCUACAUUUUCUAUCACAGAAUACUACGAAUCAUGCCUUGAAAAGGGCAUAUGAAGGAGGAUUUAGCAGUAAAAAGUAAAUAGAGUGUACUUUUGAAUUAGGCUCUGAGGCGCGCACACACCGCCCGUCACUCUCCCCAUCACCACCAACCUAACUAUUUCUAAUAAUUAUGAAACAAUACGGGGAGGCAAGUCGUAACAUGGUAAGUGUACCGGAAGAUGCACUUGGAAUAUC
This 945-nucleotide non-coding RNA is filed under the name Rineloricaria heteroptera. Its description in RNAcentral is "partial 12S ribosomal RNA". It matches the Rfam family "Bacterial small subunit ribosomal RNA". Lineage: Eukaryota; Metazoa; Chordata; Actinopteri; Siluriformes; Loricariidae. The record is from RNAcentral.